RNAcentral lists this ribosomal RNA (254 nucleotides) under uncultured bacterium. RNAcentral describes it as "partial 16S ribosomal RNA". It matches the Rfam family "Bacterial small subunit ribosomal RNA", at positions 524 to 777 of the family's 1533-position model. The record is from RNAcentral.
UACGUAGGGUGCGAGCGUUAAUCGGAAUUACUGGGCGUAAAGCGUGCGCAGGCGGUUCGUUGUGUCGGUGGUGAAAGCCCCGGGCUUAACCUGGGAAUGGCCAUGGAAACUGGCGAACUGGAGUGUGGCAGAGGGGGGUGGAAUUCCACGUGUAGCAGUGAAAUGCGUAGAGAUGUGGAGGAACACCGAUGGCGAAGGCAGCCCCCUGGGUCAAGAUUGACGCUCAUGCACGAAAGCGUGGGGAGCAAACAGGA